This 571-nucleotide long non-coding RNA is filed under the name Amborella trichopoda. RNAcentral's name for it is "long non-coding RNA (ATRI_LNC003201)". Lineage: Eukaryota; Viridiplantae; Streptophyta; Magnoliopsida; Amborellales; Amborellaceae. The record is from RNAcentral.
AAAAGACUCAAACAGCCAUUAGCAGCCAUACAAUAAAAAUAAGCAUCACAAAGAGAUGGCUAAUUUUGCACCUAUAGGUCAGGAGCAUCAGAACCAUGGAGAUCAUGGCGCCGGAGGUGGGUUUUCUGGAGGUGGUGGUCAUGGUCACGGGCGCAAGGAGAUCAUGGCGCCAGAGGUGGGUUUACCGGCGACGGUGGAAUAAGUUGUGACACAGGAGGAGGAGGAGGAGGAGGAGGGGGGUUUCCGGGUGCUAGUGGAGGUGUUAUUUAACAUUUGAUACAAAAUCAUAUGGACCAUAUUGUUUACACGGUGUAUGUACUAUGUAGUCAUCACCAUCAUUUAUCAGUGAUUGGAUGGUGAAAUUUUUUAUUUAUUUCACUUGUACAAAGGGAUGUAUUACUCUUCUUUUUUUUUCUUUUUUUCUUUUUUUUUAAGUUAUUUUGAGAAUUCCUUUCAUAAGCAUAAUGAUCUGUUCCUUCAAAAAAUUGAAGUUUACCUAAAUUUAAUACCAUAAUUGAAAUUGAUGACAUUCGGGAUGGUUACCCCUUUUGCAUGACUGGAAUAUUGUAUC